UCCUUUGUUUUUAUACAUCUUGCUGCCUUGU
RNAcentral lists this non-coding RNA (31 nucleotides) under Rattus norvegicus (Norway rat). The record is from RNAcentral. Lineage: Eukaryota; Metazoa; Chordata; Mammalia; Rodentia; Muridae.